Molecule: ribosomal RNA, 792 nt
Filed under: uncultured crenarchaeote
Lineage: Archaea; Thermoproteati; Thermoproteota
Description: bacterial SSU rRNA
Rfam family: Archaeal small subunit ribosomal RNA
Source: RNAcentral
GUAGCCGGCUGAGUAAGUUUCCCGUUAAAUCCAGCGUCUCAAGCGUUGGACUGCGGGAAAUACUGCUCGGCUAGAGAGUGGGAGAGGUCAACGGUAUUCUGGGGGUAGGGGCGAAAUCCUUUGAUCCCCGGAGGACCACCAGUGGCGAAGGCUGUUGACAAGAACACGUCUGACGGUCAGGGACGAAAGCUGGGGUAGCGAACCGGAUUAGAUACCCGGGUAGUCCCAGCCGUAAACGAUGCAUGCUAGGUGUUAGGUUGGCCACGUGCCACCCUAGUGCCGCAGGGAAGCCGUUAAGCAUGCCACCUGGGGAGUACGGCCGCAAGGCUGAAACUUAAAGGAAUUGGCGGGGGAGCACCACCAGGCGUGAAGCCUGCGGUUUAAUUGGAGUCAACGCCGGGAAUCUUACCGGGAGCGACAGCAGAGUGAAGGCCAGGCUGAAGACCUUGCCAGACAAGCUGAGAGGAGGUGCAAGGCCGUCGCCAGUUCGUGCCGUGAGGUGUUCUCUUAAGUGAGAUAACGAACGAGACCCGUGCCACAUGUUGCCAUCAGAUCCUAUAGGGAUGCUGGGCACUCUUGUGGGACCGCAGCCGAUAAGGCUGAGGAAGGUGCGGGCAACGGCAGGUCAGUAUGCCCCGAAUCUCCCGGGCCACACGCGGGCUGCAAUGGUACGGACAGAGGGCUGCAACCCCGAAAGGGGAAGCCAAUCCCUAAACCGUAUCUCAGUUGGGAUUGAGGGCUGCAACCCGCCCUCAUGAACAUGGAAUGCCUAGUAACUGCACGUCAUCAUCG